GACGAACGCUGGCGGCGUGCCUAAUACAUGCAAGUCGAACGCAGUGGGGACGGGUGAGUAACACGUGGGUAACCUCCCAUCAGAGGGGAUAACACUUGGAAACAGGUGCUAAACCCCAAACUGAUGGAUGGACCGGGGGUGCAUUAGCUAGUUGGUGAGGUAACGGCCCACCAAGGCCACGAUGCAUAGCCGACCUGAGAGGGUGAUCGGCCACACUGGGACUGAGAAACGGCCCAGACUCCUACGGGAGGCAGCAGUAGGGAAUCUUCGGCAAUGGACGAAAGUCUGACCGAGCAACGCCGCGUGAGUGAAGAAGGUUUUCGGAUCGUAAAACUCUGUUGUUAGAGAAGCGGUAUCUAACCAGAAAGCCACGGCUAACUACGUGCCAGCCGCCGCGGUAAUAC
This 404-nucleotide ribosomal RNA is filed under the name uncultured bacterium. Its description in RNAcentral is "partial 16S ribosomal RNA". It matches the Rfam family "Bacterial small subunit ribosomal RNA", at positions 28 to 526 of the family's 1533-position model. The record is from RNAcentral.